This is a non-coding RNA of Gossypium raimondii (Peruvian cotton), 81 nucleotides long. NCBI's taxonomy places the organism in Eukaryota, Viridiplantae, Streptophyta, Magnoliopsida, Malvales, Malvaceae. The record is from Rfam.
GAGCAAAUGAUGAUCAUGUUUAUUAUGUGCUGAUACUCAUCCGUGAGGCUUCAUAAUCGAGCUUUUUAAAACUGAUGCUCA